GAUGAACGCUAGCGGCAGGCUUAACACAUGCAAGUCGAGGGGUAUAGGUUUUCGGACCUAGAGACCGGCGCACGGGUGCGUAACGCGUAUGCAAUCUACCUUUUGCAGAGGGAUAGCCCCAGAGAAAUUUGGAUUAAUACCUCAUAGUAUAGUACUUUGGCAUCAAGGAACUAUUAAAGUCACAACGGCAAAAGAUGAGCAUGCGUCCCAUUAGCUAGUUGGUAAGGUAACGGCUUACCAAGGCUACGAUGGGUAGGGGUCCUGAGAGGGAGAUCCCCCACACUGGUACUGAGACACGGACCAGACUCCUACGGGAGGCAGCAGUGAGGAAUAUUGGACAAUGGGCGCAAGCCUGAUCCAGCCAUGCCGCGUGCAGGAUGACGGUCCUAUGGAUUGUAAACUGCUUUUAUACAGGAAGAAACACUCCGACGUGUCGGAGCUUGACGGUACUGUAAGAAUAAGGAUACGGCUAAACUCCGUGCCAGC
Molecule: ribosomal RNA, 486 nt
Filed under: uncultured bacterium
Lineage: Bacteria
Description: bacterial SSU rRNA
Rfam family: Bacterial small subunit ribosomal RNA
Source: RNAcentral